This 3242-nucleotide ribosomal RNA is filed under the name Peltula lingulata. RNAcentral's name for it is "partial small subunit ribosomal RNA". The stretch from base 1 to 1477 matches the Rfam family "Eukaryotic small subunit ribosomal RNA". The record is from RNAcentral. Lineage: Eukaryota; Fungi; Ascomycota; Lichinomycetes; Lichinales; Phylliscaceae.
AUACAUGCCGAAAGCCCCGACCUCACGGGAGGGGUGUGUUUAUUAGAUAAAAAACCAACGCCCUUUGGGGCUCCUUGGUGAAUCAUGAUAACCUCACGAAUCGCAUGGCCUUGCGCCGGCGAUGGUUCAUUCAAAUUUCUGCCCUAUCAACUUUCGAUGGUAGGAUCGUGGCCUACCAUGGUCGCAACGGGUAACGGGGAAUUAGGGUUCUAUUCCGGAGAGGGAGCCUGAGAAACGGCUACCACAUCCAAGGAAGGCAGCAGGCGCGCAAAUUACCCAAUCCCGACACGGGGAGGUAGUGACAAUAAAUACUGAUACGGGGCUCUUUCGGGUCUUGUAAUCGGAAUGGGUACAAUCUAAAUCCCUUAACGAGGAACAAUUGGAGGGCAAGUCUGGUGGGCCCUGCGCGGGUCCCCCGCCUCCGAGGCGGGGCUACUGACGCCAGCGAUAGCGGCCCUCGGUGGGCCCGCUAGUCGAGCACCCGAGGCGGUGAUGGGUGGGUGCCGGCAAGACAACCUGGUUCGGGGGAGGCCACUGGCGCGCUGCGACCCGCCAAUCCCGAGCGGAGACCCCCGGCGAACGUCCUGGGGGCCCGUGUAGAGCGCGCAAAGGUGUCGGUCGGCCCUGGAGGCCGGCUUGAGGGACGUGCCAUCCCCGUCCGAGAGGACGUGCUCCGUCGGAGCCCCCAUCAGGCGAGGGCGGAGCGGGGCGUCGGCUUGGUGACCGUCGCCUGGAGGAACGAGGCCAGCAGCCGCGGUAAUUCCAGCUCCAAUAGCGUAUAUUAAAGUUGUUGUAGUUAAAAAGCUCGUAGUUGAACCUUGGGCCUGGCUGGCCGGUCCGCCUCACCGCGUGUACUGGACCGGCCGGGCCUUUCCUCCUGGGGAGCCGCAUGCCCUUCGCUGGGUGUGCCGGGGAUCCAGGACGUUUACCUUGAGAAAAUUAGAGUGUUCAAAGCAGGCCUAUGCUCGAAUACAUUAGCAUGGAAUAAUAGAAUAGGACGUGCGGUUCUAUUUUGUUGGUUUCUAGGACCGCCGUAAUGAUUAAUAGGGAUAGUCGGGGGCAUCCGUAUUCAAUUGUCAGAGGUGAAAUUCUUGGAUUUAUUGAAGACGAACUACUGCGAAAGCAUUUGCCAAGGAUGUUUUCAUUAAUCAGUGAACGAAAGUUAGGGGAUCGAAGACGAUCAGAUACCGUCGUAGUCUUAACCAUAAACCAUGCCGACUAGGGAUCGGGCGGUGUUAUUCUUUUGACCCGCUCGGCACCUUACGAGAAAUCAAAGUCUUUGGGUUCUGGGGGGAGUAUGGUCGCAAGGCUGAAACUUAAAGAAAUUGACGGAAGGGCACCACCAGGCGUAAACGGUCGCAUGAAGCCGCGACAGCCUCUGCGCCAAAUAGCAGCCUGAAAGGGUGAGGUGGUGUCUCACGCACCCAAAGGGUGUCGAGUGUUAAAAUGCUAGUUCACCCUUAAAGGGUGAGCAACACACUCAAACUGCGGGAAACCCCUAAAGCUCCUGCUACCAAGCUGAUGUUCGGAAGGCGUCAGUGGCCGGGCUAAUGGCCUUGGGUAUGGUCGCAAGGCAUGGAGAUGUUACAAUGGGCAAUCCGCAUCCAAACCCCUGCUUGUAGCCGAGCUCUAGGGUUGGGUAAUGAGCAUGGGGUCGGUUCAGAGACUACAUGGGUGUGGGUUGGGUCUACCGAGUAUUCACUAGCACAUGGACCCUCAUGUCAAUGUCAUGGGAGCCAAUGUGAUGCUGUAGACCCUGCCUAAGAUAUAGUCCAUGAGCCCUUGUAAUGUAGGGUUAGAUGUAACGGGAGCCUGCGGCUUAAUUUGACUCAACACGGGGAAACUCACCAGGUCAACAGUCUGGGCCUGGAAGAGCGCUUCGUUUCGGAGGCGCUAGUGCUGUACGUUCCAUGUGAGGAAGUCCUCGAGUUUGGGCAUGGACGGUCCCUUAAGUUGGGUGGGCCGGUACAGUGCAACACCAGCUGGUACAGGGGACGUCAAGGCCCACCGUCCAUGGACGGUGGGGCCAGGCCAAUCCUGUGGCGAGCCCAAGUCACGCUGGGUCGUCGCAACGCGCGCCAAGCGGUGGGUUUCUCUCAAGGCCUGUGGGUCAUCAAAGGCCUUUGAGAAAGAAGCUUAAGGUACGCGCUAAUCCCACGGGUAACCGUGUCCUGGUGAUAAGGUCCAAACGCCGAAGCAUCAGGGAUUCCUCAUGUUAAGUCUAAAUGAGUGAAUGGUAAGGAUGAUAUUGCAUUGCAGUUCCUGAACAUUGUGGCUAUAGCCCCAACUGUCUCGUAAUCGCUACAAGCGGAAAACUGCGGUGCACAUCCAAGGCAAGAACUGCCAGACACAGUAAGGAUUGACAGAUUGAGGGCUCUUUCUUGAUUUUGUGGGUGGUGGUGCAUGGCCGUUCUUAGUUGGUGGAGUGAUUUGUCUGCUUAAUUGCGAUAACGAACGAGACCUUAACCUGCUAAAUAGCCCGGCUGGCCUUGGCCGGCCGCUGGCUUCUUAGAGGGACUAUCGGCUCAAGCCGAUGGAAGUUUGAGGCAAUAACAGGUUGACGUCAUCACAGGCCUGUGACAGCGGGGCCACGGUGAAAGAGAGGCCCGCUAGUUCAACGUCUUCACCUCUGUGGGGGGUGCUCCCCCCUCUGUCGGGCAGAGGCGAGGUGGGUGGGUCCGGUGGCCUUUGCCCCCUCGUGACGUGAGCAACACCACCUGGUACAGGGAACGCCUUGAAUCCCCCGCUGGGGGUCUCAGGCCGAUCCUGUGGCGAGUCUGCCCUGUGGUGGACCGUCGCAACGCGCGGUAAGGGGUGGGCCGGUCGGUGACCGGUCUGAGGUACGUGCUAAUCCCUUGGGAGACCAAGCCCCUUCGGUGAGGCCCGACAAGCCAAGCCACGGGGGAUGGCGUAUCCCUUUCGUUUGGGGGUCGCCGUCGGGGUGGAGGAUGCUGUGAUGCCCUUAGAUGUUCUGGGCCGCACGCGCGCUACACUGACAGAGCCAACGAGUUCAUCACCUUGGCCGGAAGGCUUGGGUAAUCUUGUUAAACUCUGUCGUGCUGGGGAUAGAGCAUUGCAAUUAUUGCUCUUCAACGAGGAAUGCCUAGUAAGCGCGAGUCAUCAGCUUGCGUUGAUUACGUCCCUGCCCUUUGUACACACCGCCCGUCGCUACUACCGAUUGAAUGGCUCAGUGAGGCCUCCGGACUGGCCCCAGGAGGUCGGCAACGACCACCCGGGGCCGG